UACAGUCAAGAACAUCCUUUUAUUCAAUCAACUGUUUUUUUAUUAUUAUUAUGGAAAAGAAACUGUAAUUAACACAUGCAUUUCACCAUGGGCUCUGGGAGGUGUGUCUGAGGAUGGGACGGCUCUGACAGAGGGGAAGGAGGGGGAGGGGCACUUGUGGUGGGCGGGGUUAGUCUAGCUUGGGAGCUCAGUCACUAAAUCGCUAAACAGCAUCCUUAAAACAGUGAUAGAAACUGAGCGAGGAAAACGUAAAAGUGAAACAUGCUGACGGUUGGGCCACAGGGUCCGACUGGGCUCUUGAACGGUGCAGGCGUCGGAUACUGCAGACGCCCGCCUCUCGACUAAAGCGCGCACACGCUCACGCACACGCUCACGCACACACACACACGCGCACUCGCUCUGCUGUGUGACCUGUUUGUCUCUGAUAUGGCUUCUCAGCUAUGGCGCUUUCACUCGUCAAGGCUUCGCUGAUAAUACUGCUGCUGGCUUCAUUCGCUUAAUGCAAAAAAAAGACAUCUAAACGUUGCAUAUACUUUUUUUUUCUUCCUCGAUUUUGCUGGUGGAGCCUCACGGUGCUUACAUCUAAUGUUUACAGGAUUUGGAACCGCAUGGUGGAUAGUGAUGGAUCGAUAAGUCACAUUUUGUAAGGAUUGUGCUGAAUCUCAGUCUCUGUGCUGUGGCACCGCUCUGUUUUUAAGGUGCUUUGAGUCAUUUUUCAUGGUUUUUUCUUCUCUUUACAAGAGCUAUUCUCAUUCACUCGUUCUCAAGAUGCAUAACCAGGUCACGAUGCAUCGUCCAUCAAGACGAAAUAAUAAAAAAAUUUCAAAUUCAAUUACAAAACAGAAACAAGGAAACCUGCAAACGAACAAACCUGCCUGCGCUAGCAGUCCUGCUGGUCACCACCCUCGCCUAAAGCCCAGUAUCACAUUCCUCGUGCUUUUAUCCCUCCACCUUUCUUUCUUUUUCUCAUCCUGUGCCCUUGUCCUCAGCACAGCCCAGAGCCCUGUGGUGUAACUUGUUCACUUACAUUAGCUGUUUGAAUGGAGAAGCUGAAGAAGAUGGGUAUGGUAAUACAAUGUGAAGCGUACAGACAAGAAUAACAUGUGAGCUAACUGCAUUCUGCUCAGACAACAAAAGAAAAAAACCUUUGCGUAUUCUUCUUCUUUUUUUUUAACCCCGCCGUUCAGAGAAAAGGGAGAAAAGGAAGGAAGUGGGAGAAGGGUACGCGGCUACAGACUACUCCAGUGUCCAAGUUAGACAGACGACAAGAUACAGAGGAAGAGAAGCAAGACAGAAAAUAUUCUUUUUUUUUUUGUUUUUAGGUUUUGUCUUUUUUUUUUUUACGUCUUUUCUUAAUAAUUCAACAAUAAAAAGAGGAACUAAAUCACACCAAUUUCCUUUAGUACUAUGUAUACUGCUUGAAAAAGCUCUGAAGAAUAGGAAGAGAAAGAUACAGAAGAAGCAUGAAGGAGGGGACUUUUUUUGAGAUGGGCACUCAGGAUUACAAGAUGGAAUCUGUGAACAAAAGGCACUUUUUAGGGACAACCUUUAAAGAUGCUCUGAGUCUAUAACACUACAUCACCAAACAAAUAUUUAUAAUCAUUUACAGCGGGGAAGGGGAUUGGGGGAGGAUGGUGGUGUGUGUGUGUGUGUGUGUGUGCAUGUGUGUGUGGAGGGUUGGGAUAGGGGGGUAGGGUUCACAUUGUUGGUAAAUUGAUGACAGCACCCCCCCCCCCCAGCCAGACAGAGGCCGCUGAUUCCCUCUUUCUUUCUUUCUUUCUUUCUUUCUUUCUUGUUUAAACAAGUAGACAUUUACAUUAAAAAACCAAAAUAAAAGAAACAUUUUCUUUAAUUUCUAUGGACGUCAUCAUCGGUGGUUUGGACUGGGGAAUCCGUACUUGUGCAUCUCCCAAAAAUGGGGAAGAUCUUGUCUUUGUCCCACGCUAGAUGUGUUGGACAUAACAUGAUGGAGAAGAAAAGAAAGAAAAGAAACAAGAUCUGACGUGAUUUUCAUUUUUUCCCUGUUUGUUUGUCCUGCAGUGGCGAUAAAGUUCGGGGAGGAAAAAUGCCUUUUGUCCUACAAUGAACCUCUCACCCCCCCGCCC
Long non-coding RNA from Astatotilapia calliptera (eastern happy), 2105 nucleotides. The record is from Ensembl. NCBI's taxonomy places the organism in Eukaryota, Metazoa, Chordata, Actinopteri, Cichliformes, Cichlidae.